Small nuclear RNA from Aotus nancymaae (Ma's night monkey), 106 nucleotides. The record is from Ensembl. NCBI's taxonomy places the organism in Eukaryota, Metazoa, Chordata, Mammalia, Primates, Aotidae.
GUGCUCACUUCGGCAGCACAUAUACAGAAUUGGAACAAUACAGUGAAGAUUAGCAUGCUCCCUGUGCAAGGAUGACAUGAAAAUUCAUGAAGCAUUUCAUAUUUUA